Molecule: long non-coding RNA, 415 nt
Filed under: Populus trichocarpa (black cottonwood)
Lineage: Eukaryota; Viridiplantae; Streptophyta; Magnoliopsida; Malpighiales; Salicaceae
Description: long non-coding RNA (PTRI_LNC001177)
Source: RNAcentral
AAAAUGAAACCAGUUGAUAAUUACCGAAUUCACUAUCUUGAUUACUAUAUACGCAAACCCAAAUCAAGAAAUUACCAAUCUCCCUCAUACCGAACCGCAUUUAACUUGCUCCGCCUCAGGAAUCUUGACAUACCCAAUUUUCUUCACAUCCUCCUCCUCAUCAUCACUAAAAUCUCCAUCAAAAUAAUGACUAUAGCGCGGCUGCGAAGGAGAAAAAAAAGACCAAACCAAGUACAUCGUAGCUGCGGUAAGAGCACCACAACCGACACCAAAAAGCAAAGCAACCACCACGCUAAGAAUAUCCUUAGUACGAUCACGCAACGAACUCAAAUCAUAACCACCAAAUCCAGGCCAAACCGACCCCACCUGGGCGGUUUCUUGAAAACCCUUCUUGUCAUGAAUUUCUUGGGAUUUC